RNAcentral lists this ribosomal RNA (468 nucleotides) under uncultured bacterium. RNAcentral describes it as "partial 16S ribosomal RNA". It matches the Rfam family "Bacterial small subunit ribosomal RNA", at positions 28 to 507 of the family's 1533-position model. The record is from RNAcentral.
GACGAACGCUGGCGGCGUGCUUAACACAUGCAAGUCGAACGGAAAGGCCCUGCUUUUGUGGUGUGCUCGAGUGGCGAACGGGUGAGUAACACGUGAGUAACCUGCCCUUGACUUUGGGAUAACUUCCGGAAACUGGGGCUAAUACCGGAUAGGAGCUCCUGCUGCAUGGUGGGGGUUGGAAGGUUUCGGCGGUUGGGGCUGGACUGGCGGCUUAUCAGCUUGUUGGUGGGGUAGUGGCAUACCGAGGACUUGCCGGGUAGCCGGCCUGAGGAGGUGACCGGCGACAUGGGGACUGAGAGACGGCCCAGACUGGAACGGGGGGCAGCAGUGGGGAAUCUUGCACAAUGGGCGGAAGCCUGAGGAAGCAACGCCGCGUGCGGGAUGAAGGCCUUCGGGGAGUAAACCGCUUUCGCCUGUGACGAAGCGUGAGUGACGGUAAUGGAUAAAGAAGCACCGGCUAACUACGUG